RNAcentral lists this ribosomal RNA (552 nucleotides) under uncultured archaeon. RNAcentral's name for it is "partial 16S ribosomal RNA". It matches the Rfam family "Archaeal small subunit ribosomal RNA", at positions 461 to 1014 of the family's 1478-position model. The record is from RNAcentral.
GCCGCCGCGGUAAAACCAGCACCUCGAGUGGUCAGGAGGUUUAUGGGCCUAAAGCAUCCGUAGCCGGUUGCAUAAGUUUUCGGUUAAAUCUAUGCGCUUAACGUAUAGGCCGCCGAAAAUACUGUGCAGCUAGGGANNNNGAGAGGUACACGGUACUCGAUAGGAAGGGGUAAAAUCCUUUGAUCUAUUGAUGACCACCUGUGGCGAAGGCGGUGUACCAGAACACGUUCGACGGUGAGGGAUGAAAGCUGGGGGAGCAAACCGGAUUAGAUACCCGGGUAGUCCCAGCUGUAAACGAUGCAGACUCGGUGAUGCAUUGGCUUGUGGCCAAUGCAGUGCCGCAGGGAAGCCGUUAAGUCUGCCGCCUGGGAAGUACGUACGCAAGUAUGAAACUUAAAGGAAUCGGCGGGGGAGCACCACAAGGGGUGAAGCCUGCGGNNNNNUUGGAGUCAACGCCAGAAAUCUUACCUGGGGAGACAGCAGAAUGAAGGUCAANNNNNNGACUUUACCAGACACGCUGAGAGGUGGUGCAUGGCCGNNNNCAGCUCGUGC